GUGGGGAAUAUUGGGCAAUGGGCGAAAGCCUGACCCAGCAACGCCGCGUGAAGGAAGAAGGCCUUCGGGUUGUAAACUUCUUUUAUGAGGGACGAAGGAAGUGACUGUACCUCAUGAAUAAGCCACGGCUAACUACGUGCCAGCAGCCGCGGUAAUACGUAGGUGGCAAGCGUUGUCCGGAUUUACUGGGUGUAAAGGGCGCGUAGGCGGACUGGCAAGUCAGAUGUGAAAUCCAUGAGCUCAACUCAUGAACUGCAUUUGAAACUGUUGGUCUUGAGUAUCGGAGAGGCAAGCGGAAUUCCUAGUGUAGCGGUGAAAUGCGUAGAUAUUAGGAGGAACACCAGUGGCGAAGGCGGCUUGCUGGACGACAACUGACGCUGAGGCGCGAAAGCGUGGGGAGCAAACAGGAUUAGAAACCCGUGUAGUCC
This 428-nucleotide ribosomal RNA is filed under the name uncultured bacterium. Its description in RNAcentral is "partial 16S ribosomal RNA". It matches the Rfam family "Bacterial small subunit ribosomal RNA", at positions 354 to 796 of the family's 1533-position model. The record is from RNAcentral.